CAGUAGCCGCGGUAAUACGGAGGGGGCUAGCGUUGUUCGGAAUUACUGGGCGUAAAGCGCACGUAGGCUGCUUUGUAAGUUAGAGGUGAAAGCCUGGAGCUCAACUCCAGAAUUGCCUUUAAGACUGCAUCGCUUGAACACGGGAGAGGUGAGUGGAAUUCCGAGUGUAGAGGUGAAAUUCGUAGAUAUUCGGAAGAACACCAGUGGCGAAGGCGGCUCACUGGCCCGUUGUUGACGCUGAGGUGCGAAAGCGUGGGGAGCAAACAGGAUUAGAUACCCCCGUAGUCCCUGUCUCUUAUAC
This 301-nucleotide ribosomal RNA is filed under the name uncultured bacterium. RNAcentral's name for it is "partial 16S ribosomal RNA". It matches the Rfam family "Bacterial small subunit ribosomal RNA", at positions 509 to 807 of the family's 1533-position model. The record is from RNAcentral.